RNA transcript from Triticum aestivum (bread wheat), 1386 nucleotides. It is a transcript of the gene named arp2/3 complex-activating protein rickA, with no coding region annotated. The record is from RefSeq and is a predicted model, not a curated record. The transcript is spliced from 4 exons. NCBI's taxonomy places the organism in Eukaryota, Viridiplantae, Streptophyta, Magnoliopsida, Poales, Poaceae.
CCCUGCCCGCGCGUGGAAUGGCAGCUAGCCAUGCCACGGAAGAGAGCAUCGCAGCACCACCACCUAUGCUUGGCACGGUAGGACUGCGACUCCAUCCAAGAGCGGCAGCGCGCGGCGAUGGCGUACCGGAGGAAGCAGGGCAUCCAGCGGUCGAACACCUUCGUGGAGGACCACCGCCAGCCGUCGCCGGGCGACUCCGCGUCGCCCGCCACCGCGUCCCCGCGCGCCACCCGCUUCGCCGACGACAGCCGCCGGCCCGACCGCUCCCUGGCCGCGCAGACCCUGCUCGCCUCCGCCGCGCGCGGGGACAUGCAGGCGCUCGCCGAGCGCUUCACCGCAUCCUCCUCGUCCCCGCUCGCCGCCCGGCCGAGCGACCCCGUCACGUCGUCGUCCCUGCGGGUGUCCCCGCGCGCCGCCCGGCCGGCCGACCCCGCCACGUCGUCGUCCCUGCGCGUGUCCCCGCGCGCCGCCCGGCCGGCUGACCCCAUCACGUCGACGUCCCCACGGGCGUCCCCGCGCGCCGGCCGGCAGAACGACAUGUUCUCGCAGGAUCCUGUGACCAUGCUGUACACGUCCACGUCGAGCGCCACGAACGACGACUCCAAGCUUUCACCAGUGAAGAAAGACGAGGCGAAGCAAGGGCUGUGGGGGCUUCUGGCGCAGCAAGCCAAGGCAAUGCUCGACGAAAGUGCCCCCACAGAGGACGCCCGGAGCCAGCCUCUGGUCACAUCAGCCGGCAGUCCGCAAGCUCAAUCGCGGUGGUCCUACGACCCGGUCCGGAAGUCGGAGAGCCCCACGUUCCAGAACGGAUCGGAAGGGCCCAAGUUCGACAUGGGAGGGCACAUCAAGAAUGCGCUGGAGGCAAGUCUCUUUUGCUUAACUCCGGCGUCCAAGCGGAUCGUCGGCUUGUCAGGGCAUCCUCCAGAGAUUGAUCGACGGGGACGGUUUUGCAGGAGGGCCUGCACGCGGCGACGAUGGCGGAGAGCAGGACGCCGGCGGUGGUGGGGAGGAAGCUGCAGAUCAGGAGGAAGACGUGCAGCGUGGACAUGCGGAGCGCCCACCUGAACCUGGGCACCCCGGAGCUCAUGUCGCCGAUGAUGACCGACUUCGAGUCGCCCCAGAUCAAAGCUUCUCGCGACGUAAGGUGGCGAACGUGAUGGCGGCCAAGGUGAAGCUGCUGCAGCGGGAGCUCAAGACGGUGAACGCCGACCUGGCCUUCUCCAAGGAGCGGUGCGCGCAGCUGGAGGAGGAGACCCGCCUGCAGCGGGCCGGCAACCACGACCACGCCGCCAACGAGGACCUGGUAUACAUACACGUUGUGGUUGGCCACUCCCUCCUCCUCCUUGCACCGGCCAUUCGUGCUCCUGAAAGACAUGGUUGCUUGCU